UGAGGAAUAUUGGUCAAUGGGCGCGAGCCUGAACCAGCCAAGUAGCGUGAAGGAUGAAGGUCCUACGGAUUGUAAACUUCUUUUAUAAGGGAAUAAAGUCACCCACGUGUGGGUGUUUGUAUGUACCUUAUGAAUAAGCAUCGGCUAACUCCGUGCCAGCAGCCGCGGUAAUACGGAGGAUGCGAGCGUUAUCCGGAUUUAUUGGGUUUAAAGGGAGCGUAGACGGGCCGUUAAGUCAGCUGUGAAAGUUUGAGGCUCAACCUUAAAAUUGCAGUUGAUACUGGCGUCCUUGAGUACGGUUGAGGCAGGCGGAAUUCGUGGUGUAGCGGUGAAAUGCUUAGAUACCACGAAGAACUCCGAUUGCGAAGGCAGCCUGCUAAGCUGCAACUGACAUUGAGGCUCGAAAGUGUGGGUAUCAAACAGGAUUAGAUACCCUGGUAGUCCACACGGUAAACGAUGAAUACUCGCUGUUUGCGAUAUACUGCAAGCGGCCAAGCGAAAGCGUUAAGUAUUCCACCUGGGGAGUACGCCGGCAACGGUGAAACUCAAAGGAAUUGACGGGGGCCCGCACAAGCGGAGGAACAUGUGGUUUAAUUCGAUGAUACGCGAGGAACCUUACCCGGGCUUAAAUUGCAGAUGAAUUACGGUGAAAGCCGUAAGCCGCAAGGCAUCUGUGAAGGUGCUGCAUGGUUGUCGUCAGCUCGUGCCGUGAGGUGUCGGCUUAAGUGCCAUAACGAGCGCAACCCUUGUUGUCAGUUACUAACAGGUUCCGCUGAGGACUCUGACAAGACUGCCAUCGUAAGAUGUGAGGAAGGUGGGGAUGACGUCAAAUCAGCACGGCCCUUACGUCCGGGGCUACACACGUGUUACAAUGGGGGGUACAGAGGGCCGCUACCACGCGAGUGGAUGCCAAUCCCCAAAACCUCUCUCAGUUCGGACUGGAGUCUGCAACCCGACUCCACGAAGCUGGAUUCGCUAGUAAUCGCGCAUCAGCCACGGCGCGGUGAAUACGUUCCC
Molecule: ribosomal RNA, 1017 nt
Filed under: uncultured bacterium
Lineage: Bacteria
Description: bacterial SSU rRNA
Rfam family: Bacterial small subunit ribosomal RNA
Source: RNAcentral